Long non-coding RNA from Brassica rapa (field mustard), 4000 nucleotides. RefSeq lists it as uncharacterized. The record is from RefSeq and is a predicted model, not a curated record. NCBI's taxonomy places the organism in Eukaryota, Viridiplantae, Streptophyta, Magnoliopsida, Brassicales, Brassicaceae.
GCUUUAAAAAAUUUAGUUUAGUAAUCAAACGCAAAUUCAAUAAGACAAAUAUAUAAUAAGCAACAUAUAUAUGUGAUGAUUUUAAUUUACAGCAUGAAAACUAUAAAAUUAUUAUAUUUGGCAUAAUUAUACAAACAUUUAAAUAUGUGAGUAACAUUAAAAAUAUAUAAUAAUUAUGUAAAACAAAUAUCUAUAUAUAUAAAUGUGAAAAUAUAUAUCCGCACGGUUGUGCAGGUGGAAAUCUAGUAACACGCUUAAGCUUGCUAGCUACGACGAACAAUCAGUUCAUAUCAUAUAGGUACCAAGUCAUCCAUGUCUUCCCCUAUCGUUAUUAGUUUCUUGUUCCUGUUAAAGUAUCUUUUUUUUUUGUCUGGUUAAUUAUGAUACUACAAAUUAUGAGAAACAAUACAUAAACGAUAUUACAGCCGACAAUUCUACCUGUCUUAUGAGGAUUCAUGCCUGACUGCAUCAGUCUGAAUAGUCUUAUGAGGUCUAUUCCUAAUGGUACUCCUUGCGCCAUGCUGAAGAUCUCUUGUAAGCGUUUUUUCUAAUUUUUAUGUAUAAUUCGCCUUCUCCGGGAAUUGAAAUUCAUACAUCUUCCUGUAAAAAUUGUGUUGUCUGGGAUUCUAAUCUCAGACCUGGAUGUAGAAGCCUUUAAACUUUGACCACUAGGCUAAGGUGCUUCCACGUAAAAGUAUCAUUAUUUUAAGCUAGUAGGUUUUAAAUACUUUAUUCGGUAAGUUGAUUUAUUUUGAUUCCGUGUGUGACUGUCUUAGUUUGUGAUUAAUUUUGAUGAGCACAUUUCUUAACCGAUCACAUAUAUAGAAAACUAUUCUUGCGACAAAAUGUCAAAGUAUCUUAUAUAAUCCAGAGGAGUUAGCAGUUGCGUUUGUAUGGUUCUGACUUUCUAGGAAAAGAUCAUUAAUAUAGAUUUGUUUACUAAAUUAUUCAUGUGUCAGUAGUGUUGUUGGUCAUCGUAAUUCUCUUGGUAUUUUCAGGAAUCUUUCAAACUCAAUGAAUACUAAUUUGAAUAUGGAUUCUGCUGGGACAUCAGACAGAACAGUUUUAAAGAGAAAUUCAAAAGAUAUUGCUUGGGAUUAUGGAAUUUUGGAAUCCGAAGAACGUUGACAAAAUUAAAUGCAAAUUGUGUGGGAAAGAAUUUUCAGGAGGUGCUUAUAGGAUCAAAGAACACAUUGCUAAUAUUCCUGGAAAUGUUUCUGCUUGUCCAAAGUCUUCAAAAGAUGAUAAAGAAAAAUGCAAAAAUGCUAUUGAGGAAGCAAAUAAAAAGAAAGAGAAGAAGGUGACGUUAAAUGAUGAGUUACAACUAACAGCUAAUGUUCAUGGUAGUGGAGAUUUGGAAGAUGAGUUUUUGAAACAUUAUAAUAGGAAUCUUAAAAUUUUCUAGUUUGUUAGGGAAAUUUAUCUCAGUUCAUUUUCUCUCUAGGGUUUCAAUUUUGUUUUGUUGUUUUCUCUAUUUCACAACAUCAUUGCCGAGAGAGAAAAUGAACUGAGAUCAAUUUCAUCCACAUAUAACAGGCAUACAUUUACAUACGGUUUUGAGGGAAAGAUAUACUGUCAUCAAAAAAAAGUCAUCAUAAAAAUAAUAUCGAUUGAUAUAGGUUAUCCACAGUAACCAUGGUUUACACGCAAUACAUGUAUAUAUAUGAACACCAAAUGUUAUCCCCAAAACACUAACAAGUCCAUGGAUACUAAGAAGUCAUCCAUAUUUAUAUAUCCACCAAACUAUGUACACAAAUAUCAAAAUACAUCGUACAUAAAUUUAAUUAAGAUUUUUUUAAUUAUGAAAAUACAAAUGUACAUAUGGAUAUCAAAAUAUCAAGAAAAAAGUUGAUAUAUUUUAUAUAUUUAUUUUAUAAAGUGGAAUAAAUAAUAGUGGCAAAAAUAUUAUGUUAGGAAAAUUAAAAAAAAAAUGUGUAAAAAAUAUUAUUUUGUGAGAAAGAGAGAUAAAGUAUAUAAUUUUAUAGUAUAUUUUUCUUUCAUAAGAUAGUAUUUUAUUUGGCACAACUAUUAUUUAGCCAACAAUUAUUUUUAUUAAUUUAAAUUUGUAGCUUUUUAGUUACUUUCUAUUUAUUUUUUAACUAAUUAGUUAACUCAUGAUUAUCCAACAAGGGCAUUUCUGUCUCAAAAAUUUUCAAAACACAUACAAAAUGCUCCUCCAUCAGAAUGUGUCUAUUUAUGUAAAGUGAAGAAACAAUGUGUCCUAAAGUAUCAAGACACAAUGGUUUACUAUGAGUGGACGGACCCGAAAUUUGAACCCAAAUCUAAUCCAAAAAAUCUGAGAUCAAAUCCAAUCCUAUAUAGAAAAUUACUCAAACAACUAUUGAGUUAGAAAAAUUGGAUAUCCGAAUCCAAAAUCAUUUGAUAACCAGAGUCAUUAUUUGAUAAAUGAUCACUAUGAGUCAGACUCAAUAGAAUUUGAUCAAUCAUUUUUUCUGUUCUUAAGGUGGAGAAUUGGGCCAAGGAUUCUCUUUCUUUAUCAUCAAUCGAAUCACUAUUCGCGACCCAUGAUUCGAUUUUAUCAUCAAUCCAAUCACCGCUCACUUUUUUUAUUUUUCUUAGCAAUGAAUAGACUUAGAUGUCUCGUAUUUGGUAUGAUACUUAUGAGAUGAUGAUAUCGAUGAAGUUUAUUUUCAAAUAUUUCUUCUUAGAACUUAUUGAUUUUACCCCAUAAGCGGGAUCACCACUCCAUAGCAUGUUACCGCCAGAACCAUUUAUUUCUUCUAGACAAUCUCCUAAUUGUUCCAGAACAACUAGAAAAAGAUUCUUUAACCAGAAAGAAUUCUGUUCAGAUGUAGGAUACCUAUCUAUAAGUUUUUGCAACUCAAUCAUGUAUGAUGGAAUCAUCAAAGAUUUGUUCUUUUCGAAUUUUGUAUGUAACUCACUAUAGGCUCAGAAAACAAAGAGAAGAUGUGUACGAACGAUAUAUCCAGCAACAAAAAGAAGGAAAAUGAUUGAAUAGAGGACCUCACGAACUUUUGGCGAUCUCAGAUAUGUCGAUAUCAAUGAUGACUAAUUAUUUGGAUGAAUCAUUUUUUCGGACAAAAAAAAGAUUAUAUAAAGACUUACUCGAAAUCUCACAUAUCAGAUUCCUUCGUGGAAGAGAAUUUUUUCUGAAGAAUUCGCCAUGAUAUAUCUAAUCCAUGCAUAAUAUCAUGAAAAAUAGAUACAAAUUUUUGACUGCUACUUAGUAUCCGCAAUAGGUCUGAAAAAUUAUCUAAACAUAUCAAAUUUAGAUAUUUGUACCCUGUCAAAGUAAGGAGCCAUGACAUAUAUGUUUGGAAUAGAUUCUAUUUGAGAGAGUUGAAAAAACACUAUCUCGUUGAAAGGUUCUAUCCAUCUGCCCUUUGACAACGCAUUUUUUUAGGCAAAGACUCCAUUUUUUCCUCUAUAAAUAUUUUUCAGAACAUGGAGGAGUGUGAAUCAAACCCACGUUUGAAUUGAAAUUGAGAUACUGAUGCAAGCUUUUCUCUUCUGAAUCGGAUAGAUUCAUAUCUGAAAGAGUUUGACAAUACGUUCUUUCAAAAUUGACUCUUUGUCCCUCUAUUGUGUUCCAGAAAUGUCUGCAAUCGAGUAAAUAGCUCUACGAACUAAUGGAUCGGAACGAAUUGAAAAAUGGAAAGAUUUGUACAAAUUAUACUUUUCGUCACCAUUUUGUGAAAAAUCGUUAGAUAUAAAUAUGUUAGAUACAUGUGACUCGAUUGACGAAGGUGAAUUAUAUCUCUCUCCAAAAAACGCACGUUUUUUGACCACCACACGAAGAAAAUAUGAACAUACCCAAAUUUAUAUAAGAUGUUUCCUUAAAACAUAUAUUUCCCUAUACCUAGUCAUUUUGUAUUUUUUUUGUUGAUAACUUGGGUACUUUGGUUAUUUAAACUUCAGUUUAUUUUCAGAUAUUUAUAUUAGUUCAGGUAUAAAUAUAAGAUUUGAUAAAAAAAAACCAAAAUAUUUCGAUUAUUUCGAUUAUAUAUAUGAAUAUUUA